Molecule: unclassified non-coding RNA, 1036 nt
Filed under: Athalia rosae (coleseed sawfly)
Lineage: Eukaryota; Metazoa; Arthropoda; Insecta; Hymenoptera; Athaliidae
Description: misc RNA ENSAEAG00005004590.1
Source: RNAcentral
AAAAAUCAAAACAACAAAAUACUUUAAAGAAUUUGUUCGAAAUACAAAGAAAUUAGUACACAUUUAUUGCACAUAUAACAUCAUAGGUCUGAGUUGGUACUUAUCAUUAUAUUACUAAUGAUAUUCAGCUUAAUUUUCCGUUGAAACAGAUAAUUUAUCAUCAUUUUAGUGUAGCAAGUUGGUUGUUUUUGUUUUUAUUUUCAACACAUCGGCGCAAAUUUUGUCACUUGAAUUUUUUUCUUUUCUUUUUUGUUUAUUUGAUAUAAAUUACAAGCUUAAUGCCAAUAAAAUGGGGGGAGAGAAAUCAUGAGAAAAAAACAAAAUCAGUCAAAUUACGUUGUGAAAGUCGCACUAUGUUCUCAAAUCAAGCGCGCAGACCUCUUGACCAGGAUGUUUUCUUCUUAUAUGACAAUAAACGUAGGAAGUUUGUUUGCUCCUUAAUUCACAAUAAGGACAUUGAAAUCUUGGUGGAUGUCCGCAAUCGUAGUUAACAUGUCUGUUUCUGUUCCCUUUGCAUGUAAAUCCACGUUUGCAUUUCGGACAAUGAUAUAUACCCUUUUCACUUUCCGGAAAACAACUUGACAUCGUUCUAGCUAAACGAUCAUUUUUCUUCGUAUUACAUAACGCUUCGCUAGAUGCAGAGGACCCUGAAAAAUGAGCAAAAAUUUUUAUCAGUAAAUGUGAUCGAGAAGAAUAUAUCUAUCUACAAUUAUUUUGCAAGUCGAAAAUUUGUCUUUCACCUUCAAAAAGAAUACAAUUUAAAUUUUCAAUUAUUCCACUGUUUCUAGUAUUUAAUGAUCAACUAAUUCGCUUUUAUUCAAAUUUACAUAAAUAAUUCAAUACAAAUAUUUUUGUAUAUUUUUUUUUUUAAAUAUAUACAUGACAUGCGAAAAUAGGGGUGUUAUGUUGUACAUUUUUUAGUCGAUGUCAUUUAUUUUGAUUUUCUAUAUACAAUUUUUCUUUAUUAAAUUUUACAUGGAAGUUUUCCCUAAAUCAGUGGAUACGCUUGUCAAAUCUAUGCAGUAUACGGCUACUC